Cavia porcellus (domestic guinea pig) is the source of this 338-nucleotide long non-coding RNA. RefSeq lists it as uncharacterized. NCBI's taxonomy places the organism in Eukaryota, Metazoa, Chordata, Mammalia, Rodentia, Caviidae. The transcript has 2 exons. The record is from RefSeq and is a predicted model, not a curated record.
CUUCAUUCUGUGCGAAUGUGGACAAACAGACAUUUACAUUUGCGCGGCCCCAGAUUCUGAAACACGAUGGCAUCCACUUUACCAAGAUGAGCUGUUAAGAGUAACAAUGUCUGGAAUCAAUCGAUCCUCUUCGGAGAGGGGGAGUGUUUUCCCACACAUGACGCUGGCCCGUUCACUCUUUGCCUCUGCAGCAGAGUGUGGGCAGUGCAAUCUCACACUGCUCUCCUGCCUGGCCUGAUUGUCGCUGCUGUGAACUCAGCUCUCCGCUGUUUCCUUUCCAGAAGCGCUGAUUCGGAUUUUCUUAAUAAACAUAAAUAAAACUUUGAUGUUGGUCAGCA